RNAcentral lists this ribosomal RNA (735 nucleotides) under uncultured Staphylococcus sp. Its description in RNAcentral is "bacterial SSU rRNA". It matches the Rfam family "Bacterial small subunit ribosomal RNA", at positions 62 to 779 of the family's 1533-position model. Lineage: Bacteria; Bacillati; Bacillota; Bacilli; Caryophanales; Staphylococcaceae. The record is from RNAcentral.
UCGAGCGAACAGACGAGGAGCUUGCUCCUCUGACGUUAGCGGCGGACGGGUGAGUAACACGUGGAUAACCUACCUAUAAGACUGGGAUAACUUCGGGAAACCGGAGCUAAUACCGGAUAAUAUAUUGAACCGCAUGGUUCAAUAGUGAAAGACGGUUUUGCUGUCACUUAUAGAUGGAUCCGCGCCGCAUUAGCUAGUUGGUAAGGUAACGGCUUACCAAGGCAACGAUGCGUAGCCGACCUGAGAGGGUGAUCGGCCACACUGGAACUGAGACACGGUCCAGACUCCUACGGGAGGCAGCAGUAGGGAAUCUUCCGCAAUGGGCGAAAGCCUGACGGAGCAACGCCGCGUGAGUGAUGAAGGUCUUCGGAUCGUAAAACUCUGUUAUUAGGGAAGAACAAAUGUGUAAGUAACUAUGCACGUCUUGACGGUACCUAAUCAGAAAGCCACGGCUAACUACGUGCCAGCAGCCGCGGUAAUACGUAGGUGGCAAGCGUUAUCCGGAAUUAUUGGGCGUAAAGCGCGCGUAGGCGGUUUUUUAAGUCUGAUGUGAAAGCCCACGGCUCAACCGUGGAGGGUCAUUGGAAACUGGAAAACUUGAGUGCAGAAGAGGAAAGUGGAAUUCCAUGUGUAGCGGUGAAAUGCGCAGAGAUAUGGAGGAACACCAGUGGCGAAGGCGACUUUCUGGUCUGUAACUGACGCUGAUGUGCGAAAGCGUGGGGAUCAAACAGGAUU